ACCUGCCCUUAACUCUGGGGUAAGCCUGGGAAACUGGGUCUAAUACCGGAUAGGAGCGUCCACCGCAUGGUGGGUGUUGGAAAGAUUUAUCGGUUUUGGAUGGACUCGCGGCCUAUCAGCUUGUUGGUGAGGUAAUGGCUCACCAAGGCGACGACGGGUAGCCGGCCUGAGAGGGUGACCGGCCACACUGGGACUGAGACACGGCCCAGACUCCUACGGGAGGCAGCAGUGGGGAAUAUUGCACAAUGGGCGMAAGCCUGAUGCAGCGACGCCGCGUGAGGGAUGACGGCCUUCGGGUUGUAAACCUCUUUCAGUAGGGAAGAAGCGAAAGUGACGGUACCUGCAGAAGAAGCACCGGCUAACUACGUGCCAGCAGCCGCGGUAAUACGUAGGGUGCGAGCGUUAUCCGGAAUUAUUGGGCGUAAAGAGCUCGUAGGCGGUUUGUCGCGUCUGUCGUGAAAGUCCGGGGCUUAACCCCGGAUCUGCGGUGGGUACGGGCAGACUAGAGUGCAGUAGGGGAGACUGGAAUUCCUGGUGUAGCGGUGGAAUGCGCAGAUAUCAGGAGGAACACCGAUGGCGAAGGCAGGUCUCUGGGCUGUAACUGACGCUGAGGAGCGAAAGCAUGGGGAGCGAACAGGAUUAGAUACCCUGGUAGUCCAUGCCGUAAACGUUGGGCACUAGGUGUGGGGACCAUUCCACGGUUUCCGCGCCGCAGCUAACGCAUUAAGUGCCCCGCCUGGGGAGUACGGCCGCAAGGCUAAAACUCAAAGGAAUUGACGGGGGCCCGCACAAGCGGCGGAGCAUGCGGAUUAAUUCGAUGCAACGCGAAGAACCUUACCAAGGCUUGACAUGUUCUCGAUCGCCGUAGAGAUACGGUUUUCCCUUUGGGGCGGGUUCACAGGUGGUGCAUGGUUGUCGUCAGCUCGUGUCGUGAGAUGUUGGGUUAAGUCCCGCAACGAGCGCAACCCUCGUUCCAUGUUGCCAGCACGUAAUGGUGGGGACUCAUGGGAGACUGCCGGGGUCAACUCGGAGGAAGGUGAGGACGACGUCAAAUCAUCAUGCCCCUUAUGUCUUGGGCUUCACGCAUGCUACAAUGGCCGGUACAAUGGGUUGCGAUACUGUGAGGUGGAGCUAAUCCCAAAAAGCCGGUCUCACUUCAGAG
This 1162-nucleotide ribosomal RNA is filed under the name Micrococcus sp. Its description in RNAcentral is "bacterial SSU rRNA". It matches the Rfam family "Bacterial small subunit ribosomal RNA", at positions 124 to 1298 of the family's 1533-position model. The record is from RNAcentral. Lineage: Bacteria; Bacillati; Actinomycetota; Actinomycetes; Micrococcales; Micrococcaceae.